This 125-nucleotide small RNA is filed under the name Marmota monax (woodchuck). The record is from RNAcentral. Lineage: Eukaryota; Metazoa; Chordata; Mammalia; Rodentia; Sciuridae.
GCCAGGCAUGGUGGCACAUGCCUGUAAUCCCAGGAGCUGGGGAGGCUAAGGCAGGAGGAUCAUGAGUUCAAAGCCAGCCUCAGCAAUGGCAAGGAACUAAGCAACUCGGUUAGACCCUGUCUCUA